AUUGAACGCUGGCGGCAGGCUUAACACAUGCAAGUCGAACGAGUCGCAGACGGGUGAGUUAUGCUUGUGAAUCUACCUUAUGGAGGGGGAUAACUACGGGAAACUGUAGCCAAUCCCGCUUACCAUAGGAUGAGCCCAAGUGGGAUUCGGUAGUUGGUGAGGUAAAGGCUCACCAAGCCGACGAUCUCUAGCUGGUAUGAGAGGAUGACCAGCCACACUGGAACUGAGACACGGCGCAUGGUCCAACGGGAGGCAGCAGGGGGGAGUUUUGCGCAAUGGGAGCAAGCUGACGCAGCCAUGCGGCGUGAAUGGAGAAGGCCUGAGGGUUGUAAAGUACUUACGGUAGCGAGGGGUUAACUGCAGAAGAAGCACCGGCUAACUCCGUGCCAGCAGCCGCGGUAAUUC
This 405-nucleotide ribosomal RNA is filed under the name uncultured bacterium. RNAcentral describes it as "partial 16S ribosomal RNA". It matches the Rfam family "Bacterial small subunit ribosomal RNA", at positions 30 to 526 of the family's 1533-position model. The record is from RNAcentral.